This 511-nucleotide ribosomal RNA is filed under the name uncultured bacterium. RNAcentral describes it as "bacterial SSU rRNA". It matches the Rfam family "Bacterial small subunit ribosomal RNA", at positions 31 to 544 of the family's 1533-position model. The record is from RNAcentral.
GAACGCUGGCGGCGUGCCUAACACAUGCAAGUCGAACGAAGCGCCUUUUUGAGAUUCUUCGGAUGAUUAAUUGGUGACUGAGUGGCGGACGGGUGAGUAACGCGUGGGUAACCUGCCCUGUACAGGGGGAUAACAGCUGGAAACGGCUGCUAAUACCGCAUAAGCGCACGAGGAGACAUCUCCUUGUGUGAAAAACUCCGGUGGUACAGGAUGGGCCCGCGUCUGAUUAGCUGGUUGGCAGGGUAACGGCCUACCAAGGCAACGAUCAGUAGCCGGUCUGAGAGGAUGAACGGCCACAUUGGAACUGAGACACGGUCCAAACUCCUACGGGAGGCAGCAGUGGGGAAUAUUGCACAAUGGGGGAAACCCUGAUGCAGCAACGCCGCGUGAGUGAAGAAGUAUUCGGUAUGUAAAGCUCUAUCAGCAGGGAAGAUAAUGACGUACCUGACUAAGAAGCUCCGGCUAAAUACGUGCCAGCAGCCGCGGUAAUACGUAGUGGAGCAAGCGUUAU